UGCAGUCGAGCGGAACGAUCCUAGCUUGCUAGGAGGCGUCGAGCGGCGGACGGGUGAGUAAUGCAUAGGAAUCUGCCCGGUAGUGGGGGAUAACUUGAGGAAACUCAAGCUAAUACCGCAUACGCCCUACGGGGGAAAGCAGGGGCUCUUCGGACCUUGCGCUAUCGGAUGAGCUUAUGUCGGAUUAGCUGGUUGGUGAGGUAACGGCUCACCAAGGCGACGAUCCGUAGCUGGUCUGAGAGGAUGAUCAGCCACAUCGGGACUGAGACACGGCCCGAACUCCUACGGGAGGCAGCAGUGGGGAAUAUUGGACAAUGGGGGCAACCCUGAUCCAGCCAUGCCGCGUGUGUGAAGAAGGCCCUCGGGUUGUAAAGCACUUUCAGCGAGGAAGAAUGCUUGUCGGUUAAUACCCGGCAAGGGAGACAUCACUCGCAGAAGAAGCACCGGCUAACUCCGUGCCAGCAGCCGCGGUAAUACGGAGGGUGCGAGCGUUAAUCGGAAUUACUGGGCGUAAAGCGUGCGUAGGCGGCUUGAUAAGCCGGUUGUGAAAGCCCCGGGCUCAACCUGGGAACGGCAUCCGGAACUGUUAGGCUAGAGUGCAGGAGAGGAAGGUAGAAUUCCCGGUGUAGCGGUGAAAUGCGUAGAGAUCGGGAGGAAUACCAGUGGCGAAGGCGGCCUUCUGGACUGACACUGACGCUGAGGUACGAAAGCGUGGGUAGCAAACAGGAUUAGAUACCCUGGUAGUCCACGCCGUAAACGAUGUCGACUAGCCGUUGGGGUCCUCGAGACCUUUGUGGCGCAGUUAACGCACUAAGUCGACCGCCUGGGGAGUACGGCCGCAAGGUUAAAACUCAAAUGAAUUGACGGGGGCCCGCACAAGCGGUGGAGCAUGUGGUUUAAUUCGAUGCAACGCGAAGAACCUUACCUACCCUUGAC
RNAcentral lists this ribosomal RNA (936 nucleotides) under Halomonas elongata. RNAcentral's name for it is "bacterial SSU rRNA". It matches the Rfam family "Bacterial small subunit ribosomal RNA", at positions 56 to 985 of the family's 1533-position model. Lineage: Bacteria; Pseudomonadati; Pseudomonadota; Gammaproteobacteria; Oceanospirillales; Halomonadaceae. The record is from RNAcentral.